UACAGAAAAUGUAAAUGAAUUUUAUUGGUAAAUAAUUAGAUGUUUUAUAUAUAAAUUAAUUUAAUAUUUUUUAGGUGAAAUUUAAAAUAUUAUUAUAUUUUAUAAUAAAUAUUUUGUUAUUAUGAAAUUUUUAUUUAAACUAGGAUUAGAUACCCUAUUAUUUUAAAUGUAAAUUAAAAUUCCAAAGAAGUAUUAGUUAUGUUCUUGAAAUUUAAAAAAUUUGGCGGUAUUUUAGUCUAUUCAGAGGAACCUGUUCUAUAAUCGAUAGUCCACGAUUUACUUUACUUAAUUUUAAAAAUUUGUAUAUCGUCGUUUAUAAAUGAUUUUAUAAGAAUAAAAAUUUUUAGAAUUUUAAAUUAAUAAAAAUGUCAGAUCAAGGUGCAGUUUAUAGUUAAGAAGAAAUGGGUUACAAUAAAUUUAUUUAAACGAAUUAAUGUAUUUAAAGUUAUUAUAAAGGUGGAUUUGAUAGUAAUAAAAUUAAAUUAAAUUUUAUGAUUUUAGCUCUAAAAUAUGUACAUAUCGCCCGUCGCUCUUAUAAUAAAAUAAG
This 547-nucleotide ribosomal RNA is filed under the name Cybister chinensis. RNAcentral's name for it is "partial 12S ribosomal RNA". Lineage: Eukaryota; Metazoa; Arthropoda; Insecta; Coleoptera; Dytiscidae. The record is from RNAcentral.